GGUUAAGCGACUAAGCGUACACGGUGGAUGCCCUGGCAGUCAGAGGCGAUGAAGGGCGUGCUAAUCUGCGAUAAGCGCCGGUAAGGUGAUAUGAACCGUUAUAACCGGCGAUACCCGAAUGGGGAAACCCAGUGUGAUUCGUCACACUAUCAUUAACUGAAUCCAUAGGUUAAUGAGGCGAACCGGGGGAACUGAAACAUCUAAGUACCCCGAGGAAAAGAAAUCAACCGAGAUUCCCCCAGUAGCGGCGAGCGAACGGGGAGGAGCCCAGAGCCUGAAUCAGCAUGUGUGUUAGUGGAAGCGUCUGGAAAGGCGCGCGAUACAGGGUGACAGCCCCGUACACAAAAGCGCAUAUGCUGUGAGCUCGAUGAGUAGGGCGGGACACGUGGUAUCCUGUCUGAAUAUGGGGGGACCAUCCUCCAAGGCUAAAUACUCCUGACUGACCGAUAGUGAACCAGUACCGUGAGGGAAAGGCGAAAAGAACCCCGGCGAGGGGAGUGAAAAAGAACCUGAAACCGUGUACGUACAAGCAGUGGGAGCCCCACCACUAAGCCAGUGGUGAACUCCACAUACGCAUCCUUUGCUGAGGAGACGGUUAACGGAGCGAAAGCGACGUUCAACCUCAAAAGAAGCAGAGGGGGCUUAGUGGUGGGGUGACUGCGUACCUUUUGUAUAAUGGGUCAGCGACUUAUAUUCUGUAGCAAGGUUAACUGUAUAGGGGAGCCGGAGGGAAACCGAGUCUUAACCGGGCGUUAAGUUGCAGGGUAUAGACCCGAAACCCGGUGAUCUAGCCAUGGGCAGGUUGAAGGUUGGGUAACACUAACUGGAGGACCGAACCGACUAAUGUUGAAAAAUUAGCGGAUGACCUGUGGCUGGGGGUGAAAGGCCAAUCAAACCGGGAGAUAGCUGGUUCUCCCCGAAAGCUAUUUAGGUAGCGCCUCGUGAAUUCAUCUCCGGGGGUAGAGCACUGUUUCGGCUAGGGGGCCAUCCCGGCUUACCAACCCGAUGCAAACUGCGAAUACCGGAGAAUGUUAUCACGGGAGACACACGGCGGGUGCUAAUGUCCGUCGUGAAGAGGGAAACAACCCAGACCGCCAGCUAAGGUCCCAAAGUCAUGGUUAAGUGGGAAACGAUGUGGGAAGGCCCAGACAGCCAGGAUGUUGGCUUAGAAGCAGCCAUCAUUUAAAGAAAGCGUAAUAGCUCACUGGUCGAGUCGGCCUGCGC
RNAcentral lists this ribosomal RNA (1224 nucleotides) under Salmonella enterica. Its description in RNAcentral is "partial 23S ribosomal RNA". It matches the Rfam family "Bacterial large subunit ribosomal RNA", at positions 1 to 1164 of the family's 2925-position model. Lineage: Bacteria; Pseudomonadati; Pseudomonadota; Gammaproteobacteria; Enterobacterales; Enterobacteriaceae. The record is from RNAcentral. RNAcentral also lists the same sequence under 1 other name.